GCGAAGUUGUUUACAUUGGCGUCUGCAAGUCGUGAGACAGCAUGAGAGGCCCUGAUCCGGCUGGGAUGUACUUCUCGACCCCAGACAGGGAUAAUGACAAGUGGAGUGAUAAUAACUGUGCUGCUGCUUUCAAAGGAGGCUGGUGGUUUAUCCGCUGUAACAGAGCCUUCCUUAACGCUCCAUGGGCCCCUACAGUACGUGGAAUACCAUUAAAGAGGACGUUAAUGAUGGUCAAACGUAACUAGAUGAAAGAUCAUAUAUGGAUUAUGCAAGCCCUCAAAAGAAGAUUUUUGAUUAAUUUCUCACGCUGAUUUUUUUUAGAUAUUAAACAUCAAGUAAUAAACAUGUAAACAAAUAUGUUUUCGGUAAAUAAAGGGGGUUUAACUAUUUU
Saccostrea cuccullata (small rock oyster) is the source of this 391-nucleotide long non-coding RNA. RefSeq lists it as uncharacterized. Lineage: Eukaryota; Metazoa; Mollusca; Bivalvia; Ostreida; Ostreidae. The record is from RefSeq and is a predicted model, not a curated record. The transcript is spliced from 3 exons.